AGCAGCCGCGGUAAUUCCAGCUCCAAUAGCGUAUAUUAAAGUUGUUGCAGUUAAAAAGCUCGUAGUUGAAUUUUAGGCCUGGCCGGGCGGUCUGUCUUUGGCGAGUACUGUCUGUCGUUGGGUCUUCCUUCUGGUGAGCCAGUAUGUCCUUUAUUGGGUGUGCCGGGGGCCAGGACCAUUACCUUGAAAAAAUUAGAGUGUUUAAAGCGGGCUAUUGCUUGAAUAGAUUAGCAUGGAAUAAUAGAAUAGGACGUUGUGGUUAUAUUUUGUUGGUUUCUAGGACCACCGUAAUGAUUAAUAGGGAUAGUUGGGGGCAUUAGUAUUCAAUUGUCAGAGGUGAAAUUCUUGGAUUUAUCGAAGACUAACUAUUGCGAAAGCAUUUGCCAAGGAUGUUUUCAUUAAUCAAGAACGAAAGUUAGGGGAUCGAAGACGAUCAGAUACCGUCGUAGUCUUAACCAUAAACUAUGCCGACUAGGAAUCGGGCGACGUUAUUUUCACGACUCGCUCGGCGCCUUAUGGG
This 520-nucleotide ribosomal RNA is filed under the name uncultured Archaeospora. RNAcentral's name for it is "SSU rRNA". It matches the Rfam family "Eukaryotic small subunit ribosomal RNA", at positions 569 to 1094 of the family's 1831-position model. Lineage: Eukaryota; Fungi; Glomeromycota; Glomeromycetes; Archaeosporales; Archaeosporaceae. The record is from RNAcentral.